This 76-nucleotide transfer RNA is filed under the name Candidatus Heimdallarchaeota archaeon. RNAcentral describes it as "tRNA-Ala". It matches the Rfam family "tRNA". From Rfam's summary of the family: Transfer RNA (tRNA) molecules are approximately 80 nucleotides in length. Their secondary structure includes four short double-helical elements and three loops (D, anti-codon, and T loops). The record is from RNAcentral. RNAcentral also lists the same sequence under 1 other name. Lineage: Archaea; Promethearchaeati; Candidatus Heimdallarchaeota.
GGGCCGGUAGAUCAGCUGGAAGAUCGCUUGCUUGGCAUGCAAGAGGCCUCGGGUUCAAGUCCCGACCGGUCCACCA